Molecule: long non-coding RNA, 1665 nt
Organism: Salmo salar (Atlantic salmon)
Lineage: Eukaryota; Metazoa; Chordata; Actinopteri; Salmoniformes; Salmonidae
Source: RefSeq, a predicted model, not a curated record
GUGUAAAACAUUUAUUUGGAAUUUAUCAUCAGGAUAUAACAUAAUAGCCAAUAUUUUGAACAUCCUAAACUAACUAUAGGCCUAGUGUAGAAAAUGCCCCCAAUAUGUUCAGGGAGGACAACCGGUGAUAAACUCUGAGGAGAGAUCAUAAUAGUAUCAAGCUCUUCAAAUGAUAAACUUGUGAAUUAAUAGGCAUAUUCACUGACCGUGAUAUAUAGGCAUAAAAAAGACAGUGAUAAAAAAAACACAAAGGCUAUUAUUUGAAUUGCUGACAGUAAAUCAAAGACGCUGUAAAGCACGUGUCAAACUCAUUCCAGGAUGGGGCCGAGUGUACUUGAUUGAUGAAAUAAAGUCGCUACACUAAUUAGUGAUGAACUACCCUCACCUGGUUGUCUAUGUCUUAAUUGAAAGGCCAGGACCAAGUUGGCGAAACCAUGUUUUAUGGGACGCUUAGGGUAAAUUGUAGGUUUCCAUUGGAGGGGCAAGAUAGAUAGGUGGUUUUGGGGACGAGCCUGUUGACCUUGACGUCACAAUCGGUGGGGGUAUAAAAUCCCCUGGAUUUACACUCUAAUCAUGUACCGUGAGAGGGGAAAAAGCCAUAGACAGACCGGUUACGCUACUCGCCUAAUUGAGGAUAAGAACGAACCCGACAAAAUGACUAAAAUGGCGAUCACUUACAUUGGCUUCCUUCUCCUUGCCAUACAGUUAUCACAAGUCUUCUCACAAAACAUUAGGCGUAGGCCUACAACAAGGUCCCCGGCGAUGACUGUGAACACUACCAAAGUUGACGGCGGCACGCGUUCCAAUAUGACCAAGGUACCCGAUGUUGUCAGUACCACCAACAUCACCAUUCCCAAAGGAGCCUGCGCGUCCUUGCAGUCCAGUGCGUUCACGCUGCUCAUUCUCAUUGUGGCGGGCUCGCUCCUACAGGGCCGCUUAUAGAGGGUUCAUAUGCACUAAAUACACUGCCACGAAUAACAUCGGCGGCACACUUUGUACCUUUGUACCUUGUACGUACUUAAACAGUGACUGCGCGGAAGAGAACACCUUUCUACUCAUGGGAAUUAUUUGGAUCACACCUCCCCGGCCACUUCAACCCAGUAUAGGCAGGCAUACACUCCCUGCCCUAUGGUGUGGUCCCCUCAAUGGAGGCAGGCCAUGAUGAGGAUGUAUUAAACUCUGCUCUUUGACUGUUGGUUCCUGUGUCCAGACAGCAGGCUGUCGUUCUGUAACUUCUGAAGCGUAAAUGUUGGUUGUGCCUUGGAAAUCAACUGCAUAUAAUGACAUGUUGGUUGAGAUGCAUUCUGGAAUUAACGUAACCUAUAUUUUGUUUUCUCUGGCACUUGAGUCCUAACUCCAACCUGGGCUUGUACCAGUGACCCUCUGAACACAACUGCCUCCCACCGUUAACCAGCUAGUCACUUCACACCUGUUACACUUGCAAUUUCUACUCCUGAAACUGCAUUGUAUACUUUGUCAGAGGCUUGAUGUAGUCUUGUGAUUUGAAGAAUGGCUACAUUUUAUAGGUCAAGUUCUCGGCCUUUCAUUUUUAACUUAAGCGGUGUUGUAAUAUGCUUAGAUUUAUUUUGUAUUGCCAGAUUUAAUAAAGCUAUGAUAUGUACAAUUAAUAUUCAUUGUUGUACAAUAAAAUGAACAACCUUACUA